This 800-nucleotide ribosomal RNA is filed under the name Bacillus tequilensis. RNAcentral's name for it is "bacterial SSU rRNA". It matches the Rfam family "Bacterial small subunit ribosomal RNA", at positions 35 to 818 of the family's 1533-position model. The record is from RNAcentral. Lineage: Bacteria; Bacillati; Bacillota; Bacilli; Caryophanales; Bacillaceae.
UCCAGGGCGGCGUGCUAUACAUGCAGUCGAGCGGACAGAUGGGAGCUUGCUCCCUGAUGUUAGCGGCGGACGGGUGAGUAACACGUGGGUAACCUGCCUGUAAGACUGGGAUAACUCCGGGAAACCGGGGCUAAUACCGGAUGGUUGUUUGAACCGCAUGGUUCAAACAUAAAAGGUGGCUUCGGCUACCACUUACAGAUGGACCCGCGGCGCAUUAGCUAGUUGGUGAGGUAACGGCUCACCAAGGCAACGAUGCGUAGCCGACCUGAGAGGGUGAUCGGCCACACUGGGACUGAGACACGGCCCAGACUCCUACGGGAGGCAGCAGUAGGGAAUCUUCCGCAAUGGACGAAAGUCUGACGGAGCAACGCCGCGUGAGUGAUGAAGGUUUUCGGAUCGUAAAGCUCUGUUGUUAGGGAAGAACAAGUACCGUUCGAAUAGGGCGGUACCUUGACGGUACCUAACCAGAAAGCCACGGCUAACUACGUGCCAGCAGCCGCGGUAAUACGUAGGUGGCAAGCGUUGUCCGGAAUUAUUGGGCGUAAAGGGCUCGCAGGCGGUUUCUUAAGUCUGAUGUGAAAGCCCCCGGCUCAACCGGGGAGGGUCAUUGGAAACUGGGGAACUUGAGUGCAGAAGAGGAGAGUGGAAUUCCACGUGUAGCGGUGAAAUGCGUAGAGAUGUGGAGGAACACCAGUGGCGAAGGCGACUCUCUGGUCUGUAACUGACGCUGAGGAGCGAAAGCGUGGGGAGCGAACAGGAUUAGAUACCCUGGUAGUCCACGCCGUAAACGAUGAGUGCUA